AUAUCAAAUUAUAAUUUUAAUGCUUAAAGUUUAAAUAUAAGUAAAGAUUUUGCUACAUGAAUGUUUAAUUUGGAACAAUAAACUAAAUGCAAAGUCUUCUACUUUAUUACAUUUAAUUUUGAAAAACGCUGAUCAUAUUUAUUUCAAAAACAUUCUGCAUACAUUGGCCAAGGUAUUAAAGACUUUUAUAAAAAUGUUUCAAAAAGAAAAGUCCAUCGUUAAUACAAAAGUUUUCAAUUUUAUGUCAAAUACUAACCAAAUACAACUAUUGAAAAAACAGGGUAAUAAUUCAUGUUGGGGUAUUAUUCAAGUAAGUUGGGCUUAUAAUUCAUGUUGAAAUAUUUUCAAUAUUGUUCAGACCCACAACAGGUUAAUAGUACCAACCGAAAAAGAUAAGCUGUCUUUUUGACAUUCCACAAUUAGCUUCCUCAGAAAAAAAAAUGUUCGUCUCUGGAUCAAAAUUUUCGGUAAACAGAGAUCUGAUGAAACUUGCUCCAUCAACACAGAUCGUUAAAGGUUGAUUCUGUCAGUGUCGUCUAUGUCUGAAGAAGAUCAGAAAAGUCAUAUCUCAAGACAAAAAAAAAAAUAUCUGGAGCUAAAGGAUACAGAAAGAUCGAUCUCUUCAGAAUAUGUUUCAUGUCACCCGAUGAGUUAUGCCGUUAAAUGCUUGUGGAUCAAUGAUCGGGAGAAAAUUUCUUACUCAAUACCUUCAACUUCUUGUUCUAAAGAUAAGUCUUCAAUUUUUCUCACAUUUUUAAAGUUGUAUGCUAUAAUAUAAUAUCCGUUCAUAUUCAAAUGUUGCAUUUUGAUCUAUGUUUGAUUUUACUGAAUGGUUUGAAAAUUUGUAUCAAUACAUACUUGAGGACACAAGCUUUCGUAUACAUACUUGAGGACACAAGCUUUCGUACUUUAGUUGAUUUAUUAUUUAAUCAAAGUUUCGAGA
This is a long non-coding RNA of Brassica rapa (field mustard), 943 nucleotides long. RefSeq lists it as uncharacterized. Lineage: Eukaryota; Viridiplantae; Streptophyta; Magnoliopsida; Brassicales; Brassicaceae. The record is from RefSeq and is a predicted model, not a curated record.